This 468-nucleotide ribosomal RNA is filed under the name uncultured bacterium. RNAcentral describes it as "partial 16S ribosomal RNA". It matches the Rfam family "Bacterial small subunit ribosomal RNA", at positions 28 to 507 of the family's 1533-position model. The record is from RNAcentral.
GACGAACGCUGGCGGCGUGCUUAACACAUGCAAGUCGAACGGAAAGGCCCUGCUUUUGUGGGGUGCUCGAGUGGCGAACGGGUGCGUAACACGUGAGUAACCUGCCCUUGACUUUGGGAUAACUUCAGGAAACUGGGGCUACUACCGGAUAGGAGCCCCUGCUCCAUGGAGGGGGUUGGAAAGUUUCGGCGGUUGGGGAUGGACUCGCGGCUUAUCAGCUUGUUGGUGGGGUAGUGGCUUACCAAGGCUUUGACGGGUAGCCGGCCUGAGAGGGUGACCGGCCACAUGGGGACUGAGGUACGGCCCAGACGCCUACGGGAGGCAGCAGUGGGGAAUAUUGCACAAUGGGCGGAAGCCUGAUGCAGCAACGCCGCGUGCGGGAUGACGGCCUUCGGGUUGUAAACCGCUGUCGCCUGUGACGAAGCGUGAGUGACGGUAAUGGGUAAAGAAGCACCGGCUAACUACGUG